RNAcentral lists this ribosomal RNA (1502 nucleotides) under uncultured Bordetella sp. RNAcentral's name for it is "partial 16S-23S ribosomal RNA intergenic spacer". It matches the Rfam family "Bacterial small subunit ribosomal RNA". Lineage: Bacteria; Pseudomonadati; Pseudomonadota; Betaproteobacteria; Burkholderiales; Alcaligenaceae. The record is from RNAcentral.
GGUUUGAUCAUGGCUCAGAUUGAACGCUGGCGGGAUGCUUUACACAUGCAAGUCGAACGGCAGCACGGACUUCGGUCUGGUGGCGAGUGGCGAACGGUGAGUAAUGUAUCGAAACGUGCUCAGUAGCGGGGGAUAAUCAUUACAGCGUAGCCAAUACCGCAUACGCCCUUCGGGGGAAAGCGGGGACCUUCGGGCCUCGCACUAUUAGAGCGGCCGAUAUCGAUUUAUUAGCUGGCAAGAAUUGGCCACCAAGGCGACGAUCCGUAGCUGGUUUGAGAGUGACGACCAGCCACACUGGGACUGAGACACGGCCCAGACUCCUACGGGAGUGCUGCAGUGGGGAAUUUUGGGAUAAUGGGGGAAACCCUGAUCCACAUCCCGCGCGGCGAUGAAGGCCUUCGGGUUGUAAAGCACUUUGGCAGGAAAAGAAACGGCACGGGAUAAUACCCCCGUGCAACUGACGGUACCUGCAGAAUAAGCACCGGGCUAACUACGCUCGCGCAGCCGCAGGCAUGUAGUGCAAGCGUUAAUCGGAAUUACUGGGCGUAAAAGCGUGCGCAGGCGGUUCGGAAAGAAAAGGAUGAACUCAGAGCUUAACUUUCUAAACUGCAUUUUGAAUCCACGAGCUAGAGUGUGUCGAGGGAGCGGAAUUCGCGUGUAGCAGCAGGAAUGCGUAGAUAUGCGGAGGAACACCGAUGGCGAAGGCAGCUCUCCUGGGAUAACACUGACGCUCAUGCACGAAAGCGUGGGGAGCAACAGGAUUAGAUACCCUGGUAGUCCACACCUAAACGAUGUCAACUAGCUGUUGGGGCCUUCGGGCCUUGGUAUGCAGUUAACGUACGUGAAGUUGGACCGCCUGGGGAGUACGGGUCGCAAGAUUAAAACUCCAAAGGAAUUGACGGGGACCCGCACAAGCGGUGGAUGAUGUGGAUUAAUUCGAUGCAACGCGAAAAACCUUACCUACCCCAUGUCUGGAAUCCCGAAGAGAUUUGGGAGGCGUUUCCGCAAGAAGAGGAACCGGAACAGGUGCUGGUACGCAUUAUCGUCAGCUCGUGUCGUGAGAUGUUGGGUUAAGUCCCGCAACGAAAGGCAACCCUUGUCAUUAGUUGCUACGAAAGGGCACUCUAAUGAGACUGCCGGUGACAAACCGGAGGAAGGUGGGGAUGACGUCAAGUCCUCAUGGCCUUACAUAGGUCAUAUCACUGGCAUAAUGAGCCGGACAGAGGGUCGCCAACCCGCGAGGGGGAGCCAAUCCCAGAAACCCGAUCGUAGUCCGAUCGCAGUCUGCAACUCGACUGCGUGAAGUCGGAAUCGCUAGUAAUCGCGGAUCAGCAUGUCGCGGUGAAUACGUUCCCGGGUCUUGUACACACCGCCCGUCACACCAUGGAGUGGGUUUUACCAGAAGUAGUUAGCCUAACCGUAAGGAGGGCGAUUACCACGGUAGGAUUCAUGACUGGGGUGAAGUCGUAACAAGGUAACUUGUUAUUACCAUGCCUCCUUAU